This 437-nucleotide ribosomal RNA is filed under the name uncultured bacterium. RNAcentral describes it as "bacterial SSU rRNA". It matches the Rfam family "Bacterial small subunit ribosomal RNA", at positions 39 to 477 of the family's 1533-position model. The record is from RNAcentral.
GGCCGCGGGAAUUCGAUUCAGGCCUAACACAUGCAAGUCGAACGGAAAGGCCCUGCUUGCAGGGUACUCGAGUGGCGAACGGGUGAGUAACACGUGGGUGAUCUGCCCUGCACUUCGGGAUAAGCCUGGGAAACUGGGUCUAAUACCGGAUAGGACCAUCGUUUAGUGUCGGUGGUGGAAAGUUUUUCGGUGCAGGAUGAGCUCGCGGCCUAUCAGCUUGUUGGUGGGGUAAUGGCCUACCAAGGCGUCGACGGGUAGCCGGCCUGAGAGGGUGGACGGCCACAUUGGGACUGAGACACGGCCCAGACUCCUACGGGAGGCAGCAGUGGGGAAUAUUGCACAAUGGGGGCAAGCCUGAUGCAGCGACGCCGCGUGGGGGAUGAAGACGUUCGGGUUGUAAACUCCUUUCAACCAUGACGAAGCAUUAUGUGACGGUA